Long non-coding RNA from Pistacia vera, 264 nucleotides. RefSeq lists it as uncharacterized. NCBI's taxonomy places the organism in Eukaryota, Viridiplantae, Streptophyta, Magnoliopsida, Sapindales, Anacardiaceae. The transcript has 2 exons. The record is from RefSeq and is a predicted model, not a curated record.
GGUUUAUAUGGGAUUUCAAAUUGCCAUUGAAAUCUAUGAAGCAGCAUGGUCUGAAAAUGGACUCGGUUAUUCUUUCUAAACUCUUGAAGCUUGGACCACUGUUGAUUGUUUUAGAGUGCUAAGUUACAUGCAUUCUUUGGCCGUAUGGGCAAUGGGUUCUUACAAGGCCAAAACCUUGUAAGAAUGGAAUGAAACCAUCAAUAAAUGAAGAAUGUUUGUAUAUAUAUCAUGCAAGAUUCUGCAAAGUUGCUCGCCUUCUAAAGG